Molecule: long non-coding RNA, 484 nt
Organism: Cyprinus carpio (common carp)
Lineage: Eukaryota; Metazoa; Chordata; Actinopteri; Cypriniformes; Cyprinidae
Source: RefSeq, a predicted model, not a curated record
UGAGAAAACCUCAUAUUGUGACUGUUUGUUGGUUCUAAGAUGAAAGCUUAUUCAAUAUCAGUUAAUUAGGUGUACCAACAAUCAUUAAGCAAACAAGAAUUAAAUAUCAUAGGCACAAUGGCGCAAUUCCCACUUUUUUCCCCUUCAAAUUUCUCCUUUCAGCUUAAUGCUUUAUUUUUGACUUGUCACAAAAGUUUAUCAUAUGCAUGUUGUAGAAUGUGUUCCCCCUUAACACAUGGACUCUUCCAGUCACCCCUGUCAUCCAGUGUAAAAUGGACUAUUCCUGAACUUUCCAUCGGAGUUCGCGAAGUGACGGAGAAGAGAACAGGUGGAUUAAAACGGGAAGGCAAGCUGUCUGAAUAUUGUAGAUAGUUUGUAGAUUAAUAAGUAUUAGUCCAAAUUAGAGGAGUUUUAUCGUUUGUGCGUGUGCGUGCAUCACAAAAACCACACAUCUAUGCACAUCUAAUAAAGACAAUUUGGAUUA